Molecule: ribosomal RNA, 698 nt
Filed under: uncultured bacterium
Lineage: Bacteria
Description: bacterial SSU rRNA
Rfam family: Bacterial small subunit ribosomal RNA
Source: RNAcentral
CAUGCAAGUCGAGCGAGAACGGCUCUAUCCUUCGGGUUAGAGUGUCAGCUAAGCGGCGCACGGGUGAGUAACACGUAGCUAACUUGCCCCAUAGGGGGGAUAACGGCCCGAAAGGCCCGCUAAUACCCUAUACUCCUUCAUACGAAAGUAUGGUUGUGGAAAGCGUUUAGCGCUAUGGGAUGGGGCUGCGGCCUAUCAGGUAGUUGGUGGGGUAAAGGCCUACCAAGGCUAAGACGGGUAGCUGGUCUGAGAGGAUGGUCAGCCACACUGGAACUGAGACACGGUCCAGACUCCUACGGGAGGCAGCAGUGGGGAAUAUUGCACAAUGGGGGAAACCCUGAUGCAGCAACGCCGCGUGGAGGAUGACGCCCUUCGGGGUGUAAACUCCUUUUGACAGGGAAGAAGAUGACGGUACCUGUCGAAUAAGCACCGGCUAACUCCGUGCCAGCAGCCGCGGUAAUACGGAGGGUGCAAGCGUUACUCGGAAUCACUGGGCGUAAAGGGCGGGUAGGCGGUCUGCUAAGUUGGAUGUGAAAGCCCACAGCUUAACUGUGGAACUGCGUCUAAAACUGUCAGACUAGGGUCCGGAAGAGGCAGGUGGAAUUGGUGGUGUAGGGGUAAAAUCCGUAGAGAUCACCAGGAAUACCCAUUGCGAAGGCGACCUGCUGGGACGGUACUGACGCUGAGGCGCGAAAGCG